GGACUACAGGGGUAUCUAAUCCCAUUCGCUACCCUAGCUUUCGUUCCUCAGCGUCAGUUACAGCCCAGCAAGCCGCUUGCGCCACCGGUGUUCUUCCAGAUAUCUACGCAUUUCACCGCUACACCUGGAAUUCCGCUUGCCUCUACUGUACUCCAGUCCGCCAGUAUCCAAUGCACUCCCGAGGUUGAGCCCCAGUCUUUAACAUCAGACUUAACGAACCGCCUACGAACUCUUUACGCCCAAUAAAUCCGGACAACGCUUGCAUCCUACGUCUUACCGCGGCUGCUGGCAC
RNAcentral lists this ribosomal RNA (292 nucleotides) under uncultured bacterium. Its description in RNAcentral is "partial 16S ribosomal RNA". The record is from RNAcentral.